RNAcentral lists this transfer RNA (85 nucleotides) under Rhizobium leguminosarum. Its description in RNAcentral is "tRNA-OTHER". Lineage: Bacteria; Pseudomonadati; Pseudomonadota; Alphaproteobacteria; Hyphomicrobiales; Rhizobiaceae. The record is from RNAcentral.
AGUGAAACCAUCGGAAACGAUCCGCCCGCCUGCCAGCGACCUUCUAAGCAGGUUGUCGCAGGUUCGAUUCCUGCAGGGGUCGCCA